AACGAACGCUGGCGGCAUGCCUAACACAUGCAAGUCGAACGAGACCUUCGGGUCUAGUGGCGCAAGGGUGCGUAACGCGUGGGAACCUGCCCUUAGGUUCGGAAUAACUCCCCGAAAGGGGUGCUAAUACCGGAUAAUGUCUUCGGCCCAAAGAUUUAUCGCCUAGGGAUGGGCCCGCGUUGGAUUAGCUAGUUGGUAGGGUAAAAGCCUACCAAGGCGACGAUCCAUAGAUGGUCUGAGAGGAUGAUCAGCCACACUGGGACUGAGACACGGCCCAGACUCCUACGGGAGGCAGCAGUGGGGAAUAUUGGACAAUGGGCGAAAGCCUGAUCCAGCAAUGCCGCGUGAGUGAUGAAGUCCUUAGGGUUGUAAAGCUCUUUUACCCGGGAUGAUAAUGACAGUACCGGGAGAAUAAGCUCCGGCUAACUCCGUG
RNAcentral lists this ribosomal RNA (433 nucleotides) under uncultured bacterium. RNAcentral's name for it is "partial 16S ribosomal RNA". It matches the Rfam family "Bacterial small subunit ribosomal RNA", at positions 29 to 507 of the family's 1533-position model. The record is from RNAcentral.